AAGAACUUUGAAGAGAGAGUUCAAGAGGGCGUGAAACUGCUUAGAAGCAAACGGAUGGACCUGAUGGUGAGUCGAUGGGAUUCAGCUUAGUGCGCUGCCACCACCUAGAAUCGGAUCGCUCGACCGGUUUCGGGGUUAAGGUUGCAGUCGGUGAGUGCAUUUCCCAUCGAUGCGCACCGGGACCUGUGACCGCACUGGAAUCAAAAGAACAAUUGCCGGCCAUUGUUUUGGUGUCCCGCUGUUCUUGUAGACCAAGUUGCCGUUACAGGAGCUGGAAUGGGCCCGCUCGGCUCGUCGGCACUUCGAACCUUUCCAAUCGAAAUGUUGUUCCUUGCUCGCAAGGUUCGGCGACACCUGGAUCGGGGAUAGGUGUUGGACGAGUAGGUCCUAUUUCCCGGUGUUUCGUCAGUCACCCAUCCGACCCGUCUUGAAACACGGACCAAGGAGUCUAACAUGUGCGCGAGUCAUUGGGUUGCAAAACCUAAAGGCGAAAUGAAAGUGAAGUCCAAUUCGGUUGGAUGAUAUGGGACCCCGGGGUUCGCACCUCGGGUGCACCAUAGUCCCAUCCUUACUGCAUCGUCAGUCGGGUGGAGAUAGAGCGUACACGUUGGGACCCGAAAGAUGGUGAACUAUGCCUGAGCAGGAUGAAGCCAGAGGAAACUCUGGUGGAGGUCCAUAGCGAUUCUGACGUGCAAAUCGAUCGUCGGACUUGG
RNAcentral lists this ribosomal RNA (713 nucleotides) under Laxus sakihariiae. RNAcentral describes it as "eukaryotic LSU rRNA". It matches the Rfam family "Eukaryotic large subunit ribosomal RNA", at positions 369 to 914 of the family's 3401-position model. The record is from RNAcentral. Lineage: Eukaryota; Metazoa; Nematoda; Chromadorea; Desmodorida; Desmodoridae.